Molecule: long non-coding RNA, 486 nt
Filed under: Oryza brachyantha (malo sina)
Lineage: Eukaryota; Viridiplantae; Streptophyta; Magnoliopsida; Poales; Poaceae
Description: long non-coding RNA (OBRA_LNC002813)
Source: RNAcentral
AUGUGUCAUCCCUGACAAGCCAGAAUGAGCCCGUCAAAGAUGACAUGAGUGCCAUCUAGCUUUAGGGUUAGCUUAAUCUCAAACAGGUUCAAACUUCAAAUAUCACGUGCACACCACCGGUAUGUCGCCCUUCACAAGCACAUCCACCCGAUCUCUUCAUGACCUCACCCCGUCGCCUCUCACCGCCGCCCCACCGACCCAGUCCUCGGAGGUGAGCAACGAGCAUUCCACUCUCAUCCCUUACUACCCAUGUUUUUUUCUCUUUGACUAAAACCCUAACUUCUCUUCUAGAUCUGGAAGCUUCUCUCCAUGCCCCCAUGGAGAGUUGUACCUCGCAAUUCUAAGACAAUCUAGAAACUUUUAGCUCUAGGAUUGUUCUUGUUGUUAUUUAGUGAUAAUUGACCUAGACAAGUGUACGAUAAUUAGUUCAUGUUGUUCAUGUGCUUCUAAAGAAAAAUAGUAUGGCAUAUAUCUGAAUGUAUAUAU